UCAGACGAUGCGUCAUGCAUAUCAAUAAGCGGAGGAAAAGAAACUAACAAGGAUUCCCUUAGUAACGGCGAGUGAAGCGGGAAGAGCUCAAAUUUGAAAUCUUCAAGGUUUUACCUUGACGAAUUGUAGUUUAAAGAAGUGUUUUCUGCUGAAGUUUUGGUAAAAGUUCUUUGGAAUAGGACAUCAUAGAGGGUGAGAAUCCCGUAUUUGACCAUUAUUUUCAGCUUUGUGAUACACUUUCAAAGAGUCGGAUUGUUUGGGAAUGCAGUCCAAAAUGGGUGGUAAAUUUCAUCUAAAGCUAAAUAUUGGCGAGAGACCGAUAGCGAACAAGUACCGUGAGGGAAAGAUGAAAAGAACUUUGAAAAGAGAGUUAAACAGUACGUGAAAUUGUCAAAAGGGAAGCGUUUGACACCAGUGUUGUUUUCUCGAAAAUCAAUUAAAAAUGGCUCGAUUUUGUAUUGCUUGAGACCUUAAAAGCUCACUGUACAUUUUUCGUGUCUUUUUUAAUGCACUUUUCGUUUAACAAGUCAACAUCAGUUUCUUUUGUUGUAAAAGGGUCAUUGGAAGGUGGCUUUCUUUUCGGAGAAAGUGUUUAUAGCCUUUGGCCUCUGCAAUCGGAGAGACUGAGGUCUGCAGCGUAGACUCUUCGGGGUUAGAUACAUUUGUGCUAAGUUAUAGCUUUUUAUAGACAACUUGUUGACUAUAAUUAGUCUUGUAGCUUACUCGCUUAUGCUAUUUUACCUACGCUUAGGAUGUUGACUGAUAUGUAGUCGUA
Molecule: ribosomal RNA, 775 nt
Filed under: uncultured Neocallimastigales
Lineage: Eukaryota; Fungi; Neocallimastigomycota; Neocallimastigomycetes; Neocallimastigales
Description: partial large subunit ribosomal RNA
Rfam family: Eukaryotic large subunit ribosomal RNA
Source: RNAcentral